RNAcentral lists this ribosomal RNA (496 nucleotides) under uncultured bacterium. RNAcentral's name for it is "partial 16S ribosomal RNA". It matches the Rfam family "Bacterial small subunit ribosomal RNA", at positions 28 to 507 of the family's 1533-position model. The record is from RNAcentral.
GACGAACGCUGGCGGCGUGCCUAAUACAUGCAAGUUGAGCGCUGAAGGUUGGUACUUGUACCAACUGGAUGAGCAGCGAACGGGUGAGUAACGCGUGGGGAAUCUGCCUUUGAGCGGGGGACAACAUUUGGAAACGAAUGCUAAUACCGCAUAAAAACUUUAAACACAAGUUUUAAGUUUGAAAGAUGCAAUUGCAUCACUCAAAGAUGAUCCCGCGUUGUAUUAGCUAGUUGGUGAGGUAAAGGCUCACCAAGGCGAUGAUACAUAGCCGACCUGAGAGGUGGAGCGCCAAAAUUGGGACUGAGACACGGCCCAAACUCCUACGGGAGGCAGCGGCAGGGAAUCUUCGACAAUGGGCGAAAGCCGGAUGGAGCAACGCCGCGUGGGUGAGGAAGGUCUUCGGAUCGUAAAACCCGGUUGUUAGAGAAGAAAGUGCGUGAGAGGAACUGUUCACGUUUCGACGGUAUCUAACCACAAAGCCACGGCUAACUACGUG